Molecule: long non-coding RNA, 244 nt
Filed under: Homo sapiens (human)
Lineage: Eukaryota; Metazoa; Chordata; Mammalia; Primates; Hominidae
Description: HSALNT0253766
Source: RNAcentral
UUAACAGAGCAACAGGCCAGGGUAGGCUGGCGUGGGGAGCAGCGCUGCUGAGAGUCACUGACUCGCAGCGUUACGGACACGGCUCUGCAGAACGAGGCUUGCACCCAACAGAGCACCAGAGCCCAGGGAGGCCGAGCUCCUCAUCGCCACACAUCAUCGCCACACAUCGGACUUAUAUUCAUUUACGGGACCUAAGAGUAUGACACAUCAUCAUGACAAAGUUGAAGAAGAACUAGCACUGCGG